Schistosoma rodhaini is the source of this 48-nucleotide non-coding RNA. The record is from Rfam. Lineage: Eukaryota; Metazoa; Platyhelminthes; Trematoda; Strigeidida; Schistosomatidae.
AUCCAGCAGACGAGUCCAAAAUAGGACGAAACGCGCGUCAAACUAGAU